This 504-nucleotide ribosomal RNA is filed under the name uncultured bacterium. RNAcentral's name for it is "bacterial SSU rRNA". It matches the Rfam family "Bacterial small subunit ribosomal RNA", at positions 19 to 518 of the family's 1533-position model. The record is from RNAcentral.
CUGGCUCAGGAUGAACGCUGGCGGCGUGCCUAACACAUGCAAGUCGAGCGGGGUUAAGUGAAAUUUCGGAUGGAGCUUAACUUAGUGGCGGACGGGUGAGUAACGCGUGGAUAACCUGCCUCACACUGGGGGAUAGCAGCUGGAAACGGCUGGUAAUACCGCAUAAGACCACAGCACCGCAUGGUGCAGGGGUAAAAGAUUUAUCGGUGUGAGAUGGAUCCGCGUCUGAUUAGCCAGUUGGCGGGGUAACGGCCCACCAAAGCGACGAUCAGUAGCCGGCCUGAGAGGGUGAACGGCCACAUUGGGACUGAGACACGGCCCAAACUCCUACGGGAGGCAGCAGUGGGGAAUAUUGCACAAUGGGCGCAAGCCUGAUGCAAGCAACGCCGCGUGAGUGAAGAAGUAUUUCGGUAUGUAAAGCUCUAUCGGCAGGGAAGAAAGGCCCGAAAGGGAGAUGACGGUACCUGACUAAGAAGCCCCGGCUAACUACGUGCCAGCCGCCGC